RNAcentral lists this ribosomal RNA (433 nucleotides) under uncultured bacterium. RNAcentral's name for it is "partial 16S ribosomal RNA". It matches the Rfam family "Bacterial small subunit ribosomal RNA", at positions 29 to 507 of the family's 1533-position model. The record is from RNAcentral.
AACGAACGCUGGCGGCAGGCCUAACACAUGCAAGUCGAGCGGGGACUUCGUUUCUAGUUGCGGUCGGGGGAGUAACGCGUGGGAAGGUGCCCUUCUCUACCGAAUUCUCCUGGUUCGUUGGGAGUAAUACCGUAUACGCUACAUUGGGGCCAGAUUUGUCGGAGAAGGUUGAGCCCGCGAUGGUUUAGGUAGUGGGUGGGGGAAUGGCCUACCACGGAUUAGCUCCAUAGCUGGUUUGAGAGGCAGAUCAGCCACACUGGGGCUGAGACACGGCCCAGAAUCCUAGGCGAAGCAGCAGAGGGGAAUCUUAGACAAUGGGGGCAACCCUGAUCGAGCCAGGGCGCGUGAGUGAUGAUGGCCUUAGAGUUGUGAAGCACUUUCAGACGGGACGAUAAUGACGGUACCAGCAGAAGAAGCACCGGCUAACUCCGUG